This 453-nucleotide ribosomal RNA is filed under the name uncultured Allobrachymonas sp. Its description in RNAcentral is "bacterial SSU rRNA". It matches the Rfam family "Bacterial small subunit ribosomal RNA", at positions 923 to 1382 of the family's 1533-position model. The record is from RNAcentral. Lineage: Bacteria; Pseudomonadati; Pseudomonadota; Betaproteobacteria; Burkholderiales; Comamonadaceae.
GCACAAGCGGUGGAUGAUGUGGUUAAUUCGAUGCAACGCGAAAACCUUACCCACCUUUGACAUGGCAGGAAUCCCGAAGAGAUUUGGGAGUGCUCGAAAGAGAACCUGCACACAGGUGCUGCAUGGCUGUCGUCAGCUCGUGUCGUGAGAUGUUGGGUUAAGUCCCGCAACGAGCGCAACCCUUGCCAUUAGUUGCUACGAAAGGGCACUCUAAUGGGACUGCCGGUGACAAACCGGAGGAAGGUGGGGAUGACGUCAAGUCCUCAUGGCCCUUAUAGGUGGGGCUACACACGUCAUACAAUGGCCGGUACAGAGGGUAGCCAACCCGCGAGGGGGAGCCAAUCCCACAAAGCCGGUCGUAGUCCGGAUCGCAGUCUGCAACUCGACUGCGUGAAGUCGGAAUCGCUAGUAAUCGCGGAUCAGCACGUCGCGGUGAAUACGUUCCCGGGUCUU